RNAcentral lists this transfer RNA (76 nucleotides) under bacterium. Its description in RNAcentral is "tRNA-Val". It matches the Rfam family "tRNA". Rfam says of the family: Transfer RNA (tRNA) molecules are approximately 80 nucleotides in length. Their secondary structure includes four short double-helical elements and three loops (D, anti-codon, and T loops). The record is from RNAcentral.
GCGCGGUUAGCUCAGUUGGUAGAGCAAUACCUCGACACGGUAGGGGUCACAGGUUCAAGUCCUGUACUGCUCACCA